CAGCCGCCGCGGUAAUACCGGCGGCCCGAGUGGCGGCCACUAUUAUUGGGCUUAAAGCGUCCGUAGCCGGGUUGGUUAGUCUCCCGGGAAAUCUGGCCGCUUAACGGUCAGAAUUCCGGGAGAUACUGCCAGCCUAGGGACCGGGAGAGGCCGAGGGUAUUCCCGGAGUAGGGGUGAAAUCCUAUAAUCCCGGGAGGACCACCUGUGGCGAAGGCGCUCGGCUGGAACGGGUCCGACGGUGAGGGACGAAGGCCAGGGGAGCAAACCGGAUUAGAUACCCGGGUAGUCCUGGCUGUAAACGAUGCGGGCUAGGUGUCGGGUGAGCUUCGGGCUCGCCCGGUGCCGUAGGGAAGCCGUUAAGCCCGCCGCCUGGGGAGUACGGCCGCAAGGCUGAAACUUAAAGGAAUUGGCGGG
RNAcentral lists this ribosomal RNA (414 nucleotides) under uncultured microorganism. Its description in RNAcentral is "bacterial SSU rRNA". It matches the Rfam family "Archaeal small subunit ribosomal RNA", at positions 459 to 872 of the family's 1478-position model. The record is from RNAcentral.